AGUCCUGCGUUUCUUCGAAAUCCAACAACACCGGAGAACAUUUUCGGGCAGGCUCAAGCACGUCAUGACGUCAUAGUCUUAACUGUGCAGCCGUAGGUGCUCGCGUCCGGUGGGAGUGUCCGUGGAAGUCCCUGCACAAAACGGUGUCAGUGAAGGACGAUGUUCAACAGAUGAAUCCUCCCAAGUUCUUCCAGGCCAGCGAUAUGUCCAACCUCACCUUUCUCAAUGAGGCCAGCGUCUUAGAAAACCUGCGCAGCCGUUACGUCGACAUAAGGAUCUAUGGAAGCCACAAAGCCCUCAUAGUAUACGCAGAGAAUACAGUAUUGCAUGUGACCAACCUUGCAUACAGCAUUUUCCCUGUGAAUUGCAUACCUACUAUGUUGGACCAAGACUUUUGUUGAGUCUUGCUUUAUUCAUGUAAAUGGUCCUUUAUGGCGGCACGGUGGCCGACUGGUUAGAGCGUCAGCCUCACAGUUCUGAGGACCCGGGUUCAAUCCCCGGUCCCGCCUGUGUGGAGUUUGCAUGUUCUCCCCGUGCCUGCGUGGGUUUUCUCCGGGCACUCCGGUUUCCUCCCACAUCCCAAAAACAUGCAUGAAUUGGGGACUCUAAAUUGCCCGUAGGCAUGACUGUGAGUGCGAAUGGUUGUUUGUUCCUAUGUGCCCUGCGAUUGGCUGGCAACCAGUUCAGGGUGUACCCCGCCUCCUGCCCGAUGACAGCUGGGAUAGGCUCCAGCACGCCCGCGACCCUAGUGAGGAGAAGCGGCUCAGAAAAUGGAUGGAUGGAUGGAUGGUCCUUUAUGCUCUCCCCGUCCUUCUAGACCUAUUCUGGCCUUUUCUGUGUGACCAUCAACCCGUACAAGUGGCUGCCCAGCUACGGCUCGAAAGUGGCCCAGAUGUACAAGGGGAAGAAACGCAAUGAAGUUCCUCCUCACCUCUUCUCCAUCUCGGGCAAUGCCUACCAUGACAUGAUGCUAGAGCACGGGAACCCAUCUAUGCCGAUCACGUAUGAACCUUCCGACAAGUCAAAAGUCACCCCGUCGAAGAACCGCAUCACCAACAUUUCUCACUACUUGUGUCCAUCUCUGAAAUGUCCUCUCCAGCGGAUAAGACGGAAAACACCAAGAAGGUGAUUCAGUACUUUGUCAGUAACUGACUGACUCC
This is a long non-coding RNA of Phyllopteryx taeniolatus (common seadragon), 1160 nucleotides long. RefSeq lists it as uncharacterized. NCBI's taxonomy places the organism in Eukaryota, Metazoa, Chordata, Actinopteri, Syngnathiformes, Syngnathidae. The record is from RefSeq and is a predicted model, not a curated record. The transcript has 3 exons.